This 460-nucleotide ribosomal RNA is filed under the name uncultured bacterium. RNAcentral describes it as "partial 16S ribosomal RNA". It matches the Rfam family "Bacterial small subunit ribosomal RNA", at positions 338 to 795 of the family's 1533-position model. The record is from RNAcentral.
CCUACGAGAGGCAGCAGUGAGGAAUAUUGGUCAAUGGGCGGAACCCUGAACCAGCCAAGUAGCGUGCAGGAUGACGGCCCUACGGGUUGUAAACUGCUUUUAUACGGGAAUAACGCGCCUUACGUGUAGGGCUUUGCAUGUACCGUAUGAAUAAGGACCGGCUAAUUCCGUGCCAGCAGCCGCGGUAAUACGGAAGUUACGGGCGUUAUCCGGAUUUAUUGGGUUUAUAGGGAGCGUAGGCGGCAUGUCAAGCGUGCUGUGAAAUGUCCGGGCUCAACCCGGGCCUUGCAGCGCGAACUGGCGUGCUGGAGUCCGCGGAAGGCAGGCGGAAUUCGUGGUGUAGCGGUGAAAUGCUUAGAUAUGACGAAGAACCCCGAGUGCGAAGGCAGCUUGCUGCAGCGGAACUGACGCUGAUGCUCGAAAGCGCGGGUAGCGAACAGGAUUAGAUACCCUUGUAGUC